This 232-nucleotide ribosomal RNA is filed under the name uncultured bacterium. RNAcentral describes it as "partial 16S ribosomal RNA". It matches the Rfam family "Bacterial small subunit ribosomal RNA", at positions 103 to 334 of the family's 1533-position model. The record is from RNAcentral.
CGGGUGAGUAACGCGUGAGGAACCUGCCUCAAAGAGGGGGACAACAGUUGGAAACGACUGCUAAUACCGCAUAAGCCCACGGCUCGGCAUCGAGCAGAGGGAAAGGAGUGAUCCGCUUUGAGAUGGCCUCGCGUCCGAUUAGCUAGUUGGUGAGGUAACGGCCCACCAAGGCAACGAUCGGUAGCCGGACUGAGAGGUUGAACGGCCACAUUGGGACUGAGACACGGCCCAG